GGCCGCGCCGGCCGCACAACGGCCCCGCCGCGCGGGCCCGGGGCUGCCCGGCCGUUGGCACCGCGGCCGCGCAGCCAUGUUGGCCCCGGGCAGGGCGGCGCGGGCGCGGCGGCGGCGGCGGCAGCCGGUCCCGCAGCCCCGGCCUGGCAGCGCCGUGUGCGCGAGCGGGAGCGGGCGAUGCUCGCGGGGAGCUCGGCGUGUGUGGGAACCGUGCGUGGGGCAGAGCGCCCGGGGAUGGCCAGCUCGUCAGGCGGCGGGGACCGCUCUCCCACACCGGAAAGACAAAGAGAUAGAAAUCUCAGUUGGCAAGCUGCCAGAAUCACAGGAAGCAAAAGCAAACCAGAGGACCAGAGGCACAGAAGUUUAUAGAAGAGGAGCACAAAUCACCCAAAGAUAGAUGAUUUUUAUUAUAAUGUAUUUUUUAAAAGAAUUUUCCUCUUUUGGCUUUUAGCCAAACUUGUUUGCUGCCUCCAAGACAUAAAAUAGAAACUCCAUGCUGCUCCACACUUUUCCCCAACUCCUGUAAGAAUGAAAAAUUCAUGCAUUUCCCGUGGCAUUCAUUUCAGAAGAGCUUUCCCUUUUCAGACUUAUAGUUGGAGUACAAAGAGGUGUGCACACUGCUUCAUAUAUGUGCAUAUUUAUUUUUUUUAAUUGGAAGAUAAGUGAUCAAAAUGUGUUGGUCCCUUGAGAAAUAAGGUUUCUGAGUAAAUAUUCGACUGUCAUACCAUUAGAUGUGCUGAAACAGCACCAAUUGAAUAUAACAACUCUCCUUGCUCACUUUGGGGGAGUUAAUAGCAGUGGAGAGGAACUUGUUUGACAAGAAGGCCAUUCAAAGUGGCCAUCAAUAGCAGGCAGGACACUUGAUUGCUUCAUGGUCUUUACCAGAGAAAGACAGAAAUGUUUAGAAGUUUUGCUGUGCAGAUUAGUACCAAGAGAAGAAACUUCCUAUAUUUAUUUUAAUCUAUCUGAAAAUUUGAACCCUUUGUCACUGUGGAGCAAAAUCCUCCAUAGUCUACAUGAGAGGGUAACUGAGGAUCAACAGAAUAUCUCAGCCAUAAAACACGACAUCCUUUGAACACAUCCCCAGGAAACAUUUGCUUGGGGAAAAAAACAACAGUUAACCUCAAGUGAGCAGAUCUCAAAGAAAGAGGACUUUUUAUUUCCCAUGUUGCCCAAGCACUGUGAUGUGAAGUCUUUGAAAUGACAGUAGCUACAAAAGACAGGAGCUCAGGCAGAGAACAUGCCCUAGGGAAAUGUUGUGGCUCCAGCAGCUGUAAGGAAGACAUCAGCUUAGAAAACAGCAGCCAACACAGCACCUCUGCCACAAGCAUCAAAUGGAAGAAGGCAAGCCUAAUUCCCAAAAAGCCAAGCCAUCUACAAUCAAUGCACUGACUAGUAACUUGUGGAAGAAUGUCUGUUAGUUGUCUAAAUGUUGUUCAUACAACUCACUGACUAAAACAAAAUUGCUUUGACCACUCAUAUAAAAGCUUAAGGCAUCGGGAUAUCAGGUGCCUCACUGAACUCUGGACUUCACAUAUUGCCCUUUCUUUUGAGAGUUGUAUAUUUUAUCCAGAAAAUAACACUGAGGUCCAGUUUUCUUUAAGAGCAGAUUUAGAAUAUGACAACUUCUGCUUUUGAAAGUAGAUUGCUUUAGACACCUCUGGGUCCUGCUCUAAAUAUAAAUCACCCAUGCAGUAUGCUUGUCAACUUGGGCCAGACAUGUCAUACAAGGGUUGGUUGCAUUUGUGAUUUUUUUUCUUUUUUUCACCUAGAUGUAAGCAAACCUUAAUGUAGCAACUUGAAAAGCAACCAGACUACUGUCAUCUUCAGUUGAGAGAAAGAAACAGAAGCACUCUGCUUGAGUUCUUCUUUCCCAUAUGGCUCAUAAUAAUUCAAAACUGCCAUUUUCUUCCCCUCGAGUUAUUUUGAAGGUAAUUUCUAUUUUGAUACAGAUCCUGAAGGAAUAGCUAGAAUGUCCUGGAAUUGCUUUUUUCAUAGCAGAAGAAUGACCUUUUAUGACACUGACUUAUAGGUAACAGACAUCAUAGCAAAGAUGGAAUUCUCUGUGCCCUGAAAGGGAAUGUUCAAUACCAGCAUGGUUCUGGUAGAGCUUUAGAUAUCCAUCCAGGUCUAAGUAGGAAACACAACUUUGCUGUGCUGUACCCAGUGAUACCAGACCAGAUCAACAGAACUACAUUUCUACAGUCUUUAAAACCUGUUUCCAGGUUGCAUGUUUCCUUUGAGACUGACACUAAUUUUAGCAGAGCCCUAGGCGAGAAUAACUUGAAUGCUGCAAGCCUGAAUUGGGCUCUCUCCUCAACAGUGCUGUGGAGGUAGGAUGUUUGCACAUCCAUGACAAGCCCUAACCUUUCCUCCCACUCUCAGCUUCUGUGACUUUGCCCCCUCAGGCUAUGAUUGCCCCAUCUUUUCAUUUUUGAGGCUUUGCAGACUUUGAUGCUGUUGCUGACAGUGCCGAAAGCCAGGAGCAGGGGAAGGAUGUGGUAAGGAAGAACAAUGUGUUGAGACUGAGAGGGAAACCAGGGAAUUCAGUAUUUGACAUGGCCUGUCAGUAUCAAAUGAGUGCACAGCAUGGAUAAGGAGGUGUGGACUGAAGGAACAGGUGGAAAUACUUGUGGAGCAGAGCUCUGGGAAGAUGGAUCUCUCCAUGAAUAGACAGACUGCACACCACAGUUAAGGUUGCCUAUUCAGUUUAGUAAUACCAAGGAAUAUUUCUCAGCUACUGAAGACCUUUUCACAACAUAUUGGGUGCCCGUUACAUAUGCAAAAUGAAAGAAUCUGGCAGGCACAAACAAGUUUGUCAGAAAGAAAUUACUACUUUGUAGAAGAAUGGAUUGAUACCCUAAACACAAUGAGCUGUGAGAAUGGGUCACUAAGACUCAUUCUCACUUUUGGUGUGAAGGAAACAAACUACUUGGAUCUCCGGGAAUCUCCAGUCACACUCAAGUGACACAAAAAGUUGACAGCUCUAUUUGGUAAUUUAGAUCCUCUUGUAGGUAUUAUCUUUCCAGCCCAUCUGUCAAAAAGAUACAAAACCCACAUAUCUAACAAGAUGGUGAAGUGGGAGCAGUUAAAGUUGUAGACAAGAAUUAGUCAAGUGUGUGCUACCAGGUGACUUUGAUCUCCUUUCUGUUACCUAUUCUUUCACUUAGCAUGCUUUCUUAAUCAAUGCUCUUUUAUCAGUUUUGUCCUUGUUCUGUGUUUGAAAAUCAACUGAGAUAUCCUUCAUAUAACCAAUCUAUCAGCCAGAUCUAGAUCAACCAUUCUAUUUUCAGCCCAUAGGCAUUUUUCUUGUUAGACAGCUUCUGCAUCUAGAUUAUCUCUUCAAAGUUCACCUUGUACAACAGCCUCUGAACAGUGAGCAAAAGAAAAGGAUACAAGAAAACGUGGCUAUUGUCGGAAAUGGAGACAACUGCAAAAGUGGGUCAAGAGAGUAUUCUCCAGCAGAAGCUCUAAAUCUAUGAAAUGGGUCAAAAUGUAAAUUAACCUAGCAUCUACCUAGGACAAGUGCCCAACAGCACAUGGAUUUCAAAGCUGUUUCAAGAUGCAGUUUCAUAGAUUUUGAAUUCUUUGUGUGUUGAACUUCAGUGACUAGCCUCAUUUGUACAAUAAUUUGACUUUAUUUCUGAAUUUGUCUAGAUUCAACUUCCAGCUAUUAGUUCUCAUCUAAAGCACUUUGUGUCUGAUUUGAUUUCCCUGUAUCCAAAAUUCAUCUCCCCACCUAGAUUAUCAAAGGCUUCUCUUACAUUUGUAUUGCAUACCAUUUUUAUGAGCUAAGUAGACAAAAUAAGAUUUUUUUAUGCAUACAUUCAAUUAAAAAUAUAUAUUUAAAGAACAAAAAAUAAAAAACUCCAGGGUGUAUUUAUUUUUUUUUUUUGGAUUGAACAUUAACAGUUCUCACUCCUUACUGCACUCCUUACUGCAUAGGUCAGAUUUUGCUUGCUGACAGCAAUUUUUGUUCUGAUUGCUACUCUUUAGAGCAACCUAACAUUCUUUCUAUUGAUUGCAAAAAUCAGGUUGCUUUGAUUCUUGAGAAAAAUUACUUAAGGUAAGAAUGGAAAAAAAAAAAACAAGCCAAAAAUCUCAUACCCAAAACCAACCAUACCAAAAACCUCAACCUGACUGCUAGAUUAUAUUUCACAAUCCAAGGCAGAAAAUAAAUAUGUAACUCAGAAAGUAACAAGUGACAGAAAUCUUGCCUCAAAGAGCUAUUAGCCAUUUAGUUGUGAGCAUAACCUCAUUUAUUUUUGUAACCCUUAAUUUGAUUUCAAAAGAAAUGUAUGAUGCUGUAGCUAAUUUCAUCCUGAUACAAAAGCUAAUUUAUCUUGCCUUUACAUGCAGCAUCACGUACCUGGAAAGAUUAUUUUAUUUGGAUAGAAUUAUGCAAAAGUGCUCAUUUUAUUCUGCAUGUAUACAGGGUGUAUUCCCCUGCAACUUAGAAUGAGUUGAUUCCAUUCUGUGUGUCCUUUUUUUCAGGUCUGAUCCUAUUGCAUUUUACUCUAACAAUAGCAACAUUGGAGGUUUUAGGCACUACAUUUAAAAACUCUCAAACAAGGAAAAUAAAAUCCUUAUUUGUAAAAAAUGAAGUUAUUUGUUUAGUAGUUAUUUUAUACUUAAUAUACUACAUUCAGACCAAAAUAAUGAUGAGAGUAAAGGUGUAAAUUAUGUGAUAUACAUUAUAUAAUUAUGUAAUUGGAUAAUGUACAC
This is a long non-coding RNA of Taeniopygia guttata (zebra finch), 4725 nucleotides long. RefSeq lists it as uncharacterized. Lineage: Eukaryota; Metazoa; Chordata; Aves; Passeriformes; Estrildidae. The record is from RefSeq and is a predicted model, not a curated record.